ACGGGUGAGUACACGUGGGUGACCUGCCUCAGAGUGGGGGAUAACGUCCCGAAAGGGACGCUAAUACCGCAUAACAUCCUGCCUUUGGAAAGGCGGAGAUCAAAGCCGGGGAUCGCAAGACCUGGCGCUUGGAGAGGGGCCCGCGUCUGAUUAGCUAGUUGGUAGGGUAAUGGCCUACCAAGGCGACGAUCAGUAUCCGGCCUGAGAGGGCGGACGGACACACUGGGACUGAGACACGGCCCAGACUCCUACGGGAGGCAGCAGUGGGGAAUUGUUCGCAAUGGGCGCAAGCCUGACGACGCAACGCCGCGUGGAGGAUGAAGAUCUUCGGGUCGUAAACUCCUGUCGAGCGGGAAGAACACUUUCCGGGCGAAUAUCCCGGAAGGCUGACGGUACCGCUAAAGGAAGCCCCGGCUAACUCCGUGCCAGCAGCCGCGGUAAUACGGGGGGGGCAAGCGUUGUUCGGAAUUACUGGGCGUAAAUGGCUC
This 488-nucleotide ribosomal RNA is filed under the name uncultured bacterium. Its description in RNAcentral is "bacterial SSU rRNA". It matches the Rfam family "Bacterial small subunit ribosomal RNA", at positions 102 to 570 of the family's 1533-position model. The record is from RNAcentral.